Long non-coding RNA from Lontra canadensis (Northern American river otter), 232 nucleotides. RefSeq lists it as uncharacterized. The transcript is spliced from 3 exons. NCBI's taxonomy places the organism in Eukaryota, Metazoa, Chordata, Mammalia, Carnivora, Mustelidae. The record is from RefSeq and is a predicted model, not a curated record.
UCUGCGGUUGGUGGUCAUCCUCAUGCAGGUUGGGACAAACACCUGUUCACAGCAGGGACUGAGUGAAGACAGCUGGGCUCUGAGCAUUAAACAUCACGGCCUUGGGGACUGCAGUGAAAGAGAAAAAAAAACAGAUACAGAGAUUAUCUAGAGGAAUUAGCAUGGUGAAAUAUCCAGGAUGAUUGUGAGAAAAGAAACAGUAUUAGAGGAGUAGCCUUUCAAGACCGCUGGA